Molecule: non-coding RNA, 1718 nt
Organism: Arvicanthis niloticus (Nile rat)
Lineage: Eukaryota; Metazoa; Chordata; Mammalia; Rodentia; Muridae
Source: RefSeq, a predicted model, not a curated record
CCAAUCAAUGUCCCGGUGACCACCAUGGAUGCAGAGCUGGAGUCUGCCAUCCAGCCAAACACCACCGGUAAACAGCUUUUUGAUCAGGUGGUAAAGACUAUUGGCCUCCGGGAAGGGUGGUACUUUAGUCUCCAGUAUGUAGACAAUAAAGGCUUUCCUACCUGCUUGAAACUUGAUAAAAAGGUCUCCACACAGGAGGUUAGAAAAGGAGAACCUUGUCCAGUUCAAAUUCCAGGCCAAGUUCUACCCUGAGGACAUGGCUAAGGAGCUCAUAGACCUACUCUCCACCAAAACAGCCCUCCCUGUUCCUGGGGUCCUAUGCAGUUCAGGGCAAGUUUGGAGAUUAUAACAAGGAAAUGCACAAGUCUAGGUACCUCAGCUUCAAGUGACUGAUCCCUCAGAGUCAUUCAUGGACCAGCACAAACUCAGCAGGGGCCAGUGGGAGGUCAGGAUCCAGGUGUGGCACGCAGAACACUGAGAGAUGCUUAAGGACAGUGCUAUGCUAGAAUACCUGACGAUUGCCCAGGACCUGGAAAUGCAUGGGAUCAACUAUUUCAAGAUCAAAACCAAGAAAAAAAAACAAACAAAGAAAAACAGACCUUUGGCUUGGAUUUAACAUCUAUGAGAAAGAUGACACGUUGACCCAGAAGAUUGGCUUCCUUGCAGUGAAAUCAGGAACAUUUCUUUCAAUGACAAGAAGUUUGUCAUUAAGCCCAUCAAAAAGAAGGUACCUGACUUUGUGUUCUAUGCUCUGUGCCUGGGAAUUAACAAGUGGAUCCUGCAGCUCUGCAUGAGGAACCAUGAGCUGUACAUGCACCGCAGGAAGCCCGACACCAUUGAGGCACAGCAGGUAAAGGCCCAGGCUUGGGAGGAGAAGCACCAGAAGCAGCUGGAGAGACAAUAAUUGGAAACGGAGAAGAGGAAAGAAACCCCAGAGAGAGAGAGAGAGAGUAACAGAUAACAGAUGCUCUGGGAGAAGGAGGAGCUGAAACUUCGGCUUCAGAACUAUGAUCAGAUGACCAAGAGGGCAGAGAAAGAGCUCUCUGAGCAGACUGAGAAGGCCCUCCAGCUGGAGGAAGAGAAGAGGCGAGCCCAGGAGGAGUCUGAACGUCUGGAGGCCUCCAGAUGACCACAUGGCCUCCCUGUGGGCCAAGGAAGAACUGGAAAGGCAGGCACAGGAUCAGAUAAAGAGCCCGGAGCAGCUGGCUACAGAGCUGGCAGACUACUCGGCCAAGAUUGCCCUUUUGGAGGAGGCACGGAGACGCAAGGAGGAUGAGGUGGAGGAGUGGCAGCACAGUGCUAAAGAAGCCCAGGAUGACCUGGUGAAGACCAAGGAGGAGCUGCACCUGGUGAUGACUGAUCCCCCACCCCCACCAACCUCAGUGUACGAGCCCCGUGAAUUACCAAAUCUAGGAGGGACUGCAGGACGAGGGAGCAAAGCCCAUGGGCUACAGCGGUUGUGUGCUCUAGCGAAGGCAUCCUGGAUGACCGCAAGGAGGAGAAGCGGAUCACAGAAGCAGAGAGGAAUAAGCUUGUUCAGUGGCAGCUGCUGACUCUGAGUAACAAGUUGUCCCCAGGCCCGGGAUGAGAAUUAGAGGACCCACAAUGACAUCAUCCACAAUGAGAACAUGAGGCAAGGCCGGGACAAGUAUAAGAAGCUGCGGCAAAUCAGGUAGGGCAACACCAAGCAGCACAUCUGCAAGUUCGAGGCCAUGUAG